ACCCCAGGUCAGGUGGGAUUACCCGCUGAGUUUAAAAAUAUGAAUAAGAGGAGUAAAAUAAACUUACAAGGAUUUCAUUAGUAACGGCAAGCGAAUCAGGACCAACCCAACCUUAGAAUCGGCGACUCCAUCAUAUGAAAUGUAGUCUUGAGAAGUGUCCUCAGUGGCAGACUGGGCCUAAGUCCCUUGGAAGGGGGCGCUAGAGAAGGUGAGAGCCCUAUUAUGCCCGGACCUUGUCUCACUAUAAGGCGCUGUCUACGAGUUGAGUUGAUUGGGAAUGUAGCCCAAAUUGGGUAGUAAACUCUGUCCAUUGCUAAAUAUGAGUGAGAGACUGAUAUCAAACAAGUACCGUGAGGGAAAAAUAAAAACGAUUUUGAAAAAAAAGUCAAAGAGUGCUUGAAAUUGUCUGGAGGAAAGCUAAUGGGGGCCAGUGAUGUGCCCCGAUCAGAAGUGGAAUAGCUAUAAACUAGUCCGUCGAUGAACUCAGGGCAUGGACCAACGAAGAUUAGGGGUGGCAAAGAUCGAUCCCUCAAUACUCUCGUGGAACACCAUCUCAUCGAUUGUGGUAGGGAGCGCGUGCCUCUAGAAUACUUCAGCAUCUGUGCACUCCAGAAGCUGGCAUGUGAGCUCCCCAUUCAACCCGUCUUGAAAGAUGAACCAAGGAGUUUGACAUAUGUGCGAGUCAACGGGCGAGUAAACCCAUUAGGUGUAAGGAAGAUUAUUGGUGGAAUCCCCUUGAGUGGAGCACCACCGAUGGACCUUCAUCAUUUGAGAAUGGUCUGAAUAUGCACAUACCUGUUGGGAUUCAAAAGAUAGUGAACUAUGUCUGAGCGGGGCGAAGCCAGAGAAAACUUUGGAGGAGGCCUACAGCGAUACUGACAUGCAAAUAAUUCUUCUGACUUGUGUAUAGGGGAGAAAGACUAAUUGAAACAUAUAGUAGUUAGUUCCCUCCAAAUUUUCCCUCAAGAUAGCUGAAGCUGGCGUGUGAGUGCUAUCAGGUAAAGCCAAUGCUAAGAGACCUCGAGGGAGCAACUCCCUCGACCUAUUCUCAAAGAUUAAAUAGUAGAAUAGUGCAACUACUUUAUGAGCCAUGCCACGGAAUCAAGAGCUACAAGUAGGCCAUUUUUGGUAAGAAGAACUGGCAAUAUGGGAUGAAUUGGAGGCUGGGUUAUGGUACCCAAUUACACGCUAACCUAGAUCCCACAAAGGGUGUUAACUGAUUAAGACAACUUGAUGGUGGUUAUUGAAAUCAAAAUCCACUAAGGAGUGCGUAAUAACUUACCUGCUAAAUCUACUAGCGUCAAAAAUAGAUGGUACUUAACCAUGCAACCUAUACCCGGCCAUCGGGGUAAGUUCCAGGCCCUAAUGAGUAGGAGGUUACAACGGUCACUAGAAAACCUUAGGCGCGAGCCUGGGCAGAAUGGCCAUCGGUGCAGAUCUUGGUGGUAGUAGCAAAUAUUCAAAUGAGAACUUUGAAAGUAAAAUAGGGGAAAGGUUCCAUGUGAAUGGUACUUGCACAUGGGUUAGUCAAUCCUAAGGGUAGGAGGAACCCUGACAGAUAACGAGUUUUGCCCAUACUCCAAAAGAGAAUCGGGUUAAAAUUCCAGAAUCAAGACGUGGCGGUCGACGACAAUGUUAGAAAGUUUGAAGACGUUAGUAGGACCCACAAAAAGAUUUAUCUUUUCUAUUUUACAAUUUUUCCACCCUAGAUUCGUCUCAGCUAAAGGUAGGGUCCAGCAGUUGUUAGAGCACCGCACGUCGCGUGUUGUUCGAUGCUCUCCAAGAGGCCCUUGAAAAUCUAAAGGACUGAAUACCAUCCACACCCAAUCGUACUUAUAACUGCAUCAGUUCUCCAAGGUGAAGAGCCUCUGGUCGAUGGAACAAUAUACGAAAGGGAAGUCGGCAAACUAGAUUCGUAACUUUGGGAAAAGGAUUAGCUCUGAGGGCUGUGCACGGGGAAACAGUCACAAACCCGUCGGCUAUCGGUGGACUGCUCGAGAUACUCCUGUGGCGUGAGUGGGUCACUGCGUGCUGUGUGGUGAAAGGACUGGAAAUGGUCACUUUAAGGGCCUUCCCCGCAAGUCAAACGACCAACUCAGAAUUGGUACGGGCAAUGGGAAUCGAACUGUUUAAUUAAAACAAAGCAUUGCGAUGAUCCCAAUGGAUAUUCACGCAACAUGAUUUCUGCCCAGUUCUCCGAAUGUCAAAGUGAAGAAAUUCAACCAAUAGUGGGUAAACGACUAGAGUAACUAUGACUCUCUUAAGGUAGCCAAAUGCCUCAUUAUCUAAUUAGUGACACGUAUGAAUUGAUUAAUGAGAUUCCUACUGUCUAUGUUUACUAUCCAGGAAACCACAACAAAAGGAAUGGGCUUGGUAGAAUCUACGGGGAAAGAAGACCUUGUAGAUCUUGACUCUUGUAUAAUUUUAUGAAUUGACUUGAGAGGUGUAGUAUAAUUGGUCAAAAGGCAAAAGUGAAAUACCACUCCUUUUAAUGUUAUUUUACUUAUUACAUGAAUAAGAAGCAAGGUACUUCCCCUCUAUUUUGACCCAAGGCUCACCCAGCGGGCUGAUCUGGGUAGAAGACACUGUCAGGUGGGGAGUUCGGCUGGGGUGGCACAUCUAUUAAAUAUAAGGCAGGUGUCCUAAGAUGAGCUCAACGAGAACAGAAAUCUCAUGUGGAAUAAAAGGGUAAAAGCUCAUUUGAUUCUAAUUUACAGUACACAUAUGAACUAUGAAUGCAUCGCCUAACAAUUCUUUAGACCUUCAAAAUUCAAAGCUACAAGUGUCAGAAAUAUUACCAAAGGGAUAACUGGCUUGUGGCAGCCAAGCGUUGAUAGAGACGUUGCUUUUUGAACCUUCGAUGUCGGCUUUUCCUAUCAUUUUGAAGCAAAAUUCUGCAAGUGUUGGAUUGUUCAACCACCAAUAGGGAAUAUGAGCUGGGUUUAGACCAUCGUGUGAUAAGUUAGUUUUACCCUACUGAUGACAAUGUCACAAUAGUAAUUCAACCUAGUAAGAGAGGAACCAUUGAUUCACAUGAUUAGUCAUCGCGCUUACUUUAAAAUCCAGUGGCGCAAAGCUACAAUGUGAUGGUUUACUACAAAAUGCCUCUAAGUUAGAAUCCGUGUUGGAAGUGAUGGAUGCACCCUCCAUCCACUUGCCGACCCGUAGUAGGGUCUACUAUCCCUAAGGGAACAUAACGUAGACCCUUAAGGGUUGCGGUAUCCACAUUGAGUACAAUUUUAAUCGAGCAGCAGAAAGAAUCCUUUGCAGAUGACUUAAUUACUCGAUAUGGUAUUGUAAGUGGAAGGUUGGCCUUGCUUCCACGAUCCACUAAGAUUCAUC
Molecule: ribosomal RNA, 3342 nt
Filed under: Capsicum chinense (habanero)
Lineage: Eukaryota; Viridiplantae; Streptophyta; Magnoliopsida; Solanales; Solanaceae
Description: bacterial LSU rRNA
Rfam family: Eukaryotic large subunit ribosomal RNA
Source: RNAcentral